AAACCAUGUUGUGGGCAUCGCCUAAAAAGGUCCUUGUACCUCUCCUAAGCUUCAUAAAGUGUCUCACCAUCUUGUUGAGUUAAAAAAGCUAUGUCAUGUUGAAUUU
Small nucleolar RNA from Dioscorea cayenensis subsp. rotundata (Guinea yam), 106 nucleotides. Lineage: Eukaryota; Viridiplantae; Streptophyta; Magnoliopsida; Dioscoreales; Dioscoreaceae. The record is from RefSeq and is a predicted model, not a curated record.